Molecule: non-coding RNA, 494 nt
Organism: Ciona intestinalis (vase tunicate)
Lineage: Eukaryota; Metazoa; Chordata; Ascidiacea; Phlebobranchia; Cionidae
Source: RefSeq, a predicted model, not a curated record
AGGGCCAUUGCCUAUGCAGUUGUUGCAGAUCGGCCACCACAGGUUAGACAACACACCAAGAGUGUUAAAUUUUUGGAAGUACUCAAAAACUAUAGUUGACUGGAUAAAAUGAGACGUUUUGUGUUGCUGGUUAUCGUGGUCAUGGCGUGUUUUGCAGUUUUGUCGGGGUGUUCUGAAGGUUCGGCGAAGGCAAUCGAGGGAAACAAACAUACGAGCCAACAUAGCCGACAACGUUUCGGUAGAAGAGGCAACGGUGGUGGUUGGGGAGGCUGGGCCCCGGGUCAAUCGAAACGUGAUAUUCAUGAUGACAAUUUCGAAGACUUCGAAGACAUAAUCAAUAAUAUGUAAAACUACUCUUAAAAUAAACUUAGCCUACUCUGAUAUAUAUGGAACCUAUUAUAGUAUAGCCUCUACAAUAUAUUGCAUACAUCAUUUUGAUCCUAGUUUCGGGUUUCAAUCGUUUAAUAAAUUAUACAAAAUAAAUUGUUGAUAGU